UUGACUUUUGAGGAACCUGGGCUAAAGUGCUCUGUGGUGAGUGGGGAAUGAAGCACAAGUGAAAGCCUCUUUCCAUGGCUUGAAAGACCCUUCUGUAGCAAAGAGGAAUCACCAGAGCUUUCUCACCAGUUUUCCCACAUGUGAAUCAGUAGCACAGCAAAGGCGUCUGGCACAAGCUGAUGAACACCAGUCUGGGAAGAAAUGUGAUGUGUAAACCUCAGAAGCUUUGAGGUACGGAAGGUGCAGAUUCCAGCAUCAAUGUUACAUGGAACCUUUGGGUUGAGAUGUGGGUCUGAAUGGCAAAAAUGAAGGCUGCAGAUAUGAAACGUAUCUGACUUCACAAAACAUGCCUCUUUUUGGAGUGAUUGUGCAGAAGUGCCUUACUGAGACAGACAAGAUUAAACCACCCGUUACCGAGAAGGUUGAAGGAGCGCUGUAG
This 439-nucleotide long non-coding RNA is filed under the name Chinchilla lanigera (long-tailed chinchilla). RNAcentral's name for it is "lncRNA (ENSCLAG00000029067.1)". The record is from RNAcentral. Lineage: Eukaryota; Metazoa; Chordata; Mammalia; Rodentia; Chinchillidae.